AACCGGCGAACGGGUGCGUAACACGUGAGCAACCUACCGAAGUGUGGGGGAUAGCCGGCCUAACGGCCGAGUAAUACCGCAUACGAUUCCGAAGAGGCAUUUCUUUGGAAUGAAACCUACGGGGUACUUCGAGGGGCUCGCGGCCUAUCAGCUAGUUGGUGAGGUAACGGCUCACCAAGGCGACGACGGGUAGCUGGUCUGAGAGGAUGGCCAGCCACAUUGGGACUGAGAAACGGCCCAG
RNAcentral lists this ribosomal RNA (241 nucleotides) under uncultured bacterium. RNAcentral's name for it is "partial 16S ribosomal RNA". It matches the Rfam family "Bacterial small subunit ribosomal RNA", at positions 93 to 334 of the family's 1533-position model. The record is from RNAcentral.